RNAcentral lists this ribosomal RNA (465 nucleotides) under uncultured bacterium. Its description in RNAcentral is "partial 16S ribosomal RNA". It matches the Rfam family "Bacterial small subunit ribosomal RNA", at positions 28 to 507 of the family's 1533-position model. The record is from RNAcentral.
GACGAACGCUGGCGGCGUGCUUAACACAUGCAAGUCGAACGGUAAGGCUCCAGCUUGCUGGGGUACACGAGUGGCGAACGGGUGAGUAACACGUGGGUGACCUGCCCUGCACUUCGGGAUAAGCCUGGGAAACUGGGUCUAAUACCGGAUAGGACCGCACCGUGAGGGUGUGGUGGAAAGUUUUUUCGGUGUGGGAUGGGCCCGCGGCCUAUCAGUUUGUUGGUGGGGUAAUGGCCUACCAAGGCGGCGACGGGUAGCCGGCCUGAGAGGGUGGACGGCCACAUUGGGACUGAGACACGGCCCAGACUCCUACGGGAGGCAGCAGUGGGGAAUAUUGCACAAUGGGCGGAAGCCUGAUGCAGCGACGCCGCGUGGGGGAUGACGGCCUUCGGGUUGUAAACUCCUUUCACCAUCGACGAAGGGUUUCUGACGGUAGAUGGAGAAGAAGCACCGGCUAACUACGUG